This 71-nucleotide transfer RNA is filed under the name Anniella geronimensis. RNAcentral's name for it is "tRNA-Gln". Lineage: Eukaryota; Metazoa; Chordata; Lepidosauria; Squamata; Anniellidae. The record is from RNAcentral.
AUAGAAAGACAGGAAUUGAACCUGAACUUAAAAACUCAAAUCUUCUCGUACUUCCAUUAUACUACUCCCUA